CUCGUUUUACCCGGGCCGAGAUGCGUCUAGCUCAUGCAGGUGCUGGUUCCGCCCCCGCCUUUCUCUAUUAUCUAAAAGUUAAUUCACUUUGUUUAUGGAACCCUAGCCACACCUCCCUGCAUGUGACUUACACAGCCUUCCUAAAUACUUCCUGUGUUUAAACUUCCUUUAUUGCAAAGUAUGAUCCAUUUAGAAAUUUGUAUCUCCU
This is a non-coding RNA of Pelobates cultripes (western spadefoot toad), 208 nucleotides long. NCBI's taxonomy places the organism in Eukaryota, Metazoa, Chordata, Amphibia, Anura, Pelobatidae. The record is from the annotation of a GenBank genome assembly.